UCCUGUGAUGCAGGCCUUACUACGAGCAGUU
RNAcentral lists this non-coding RNA (31 nucleotides) under Rattus norvegicus (Norway rat). Lineage: Eukaryota; Metazoa; Chordata; Mammalia; Rodentia; Muridae. The record is from RNAcentral.